GACGAACGCUGGCGGCGUGCUUAACACAUGCAAGUCGAACGGAAAGGCCCUGCUUUUGUGGGGUGCUCGAGUGGCGAACGGGUGAGUAACACGUGAGUAACCUGCCCUUGACUUUGGGAUAACUUCAGGAAACUGGGGCUAAUACCGGAUAGGAGCUCCUGCUGCAUGGUGGGGGUUGGAAAGUUUCGGCGGUUGGGGAUGGACUCGCGGCUUAUCAGCUUGUUGGUGAGGUAGUGGCUUACCAAGGCUUUGACGGGUAGCCGGCCUGAGAGGGUGAACGGCGACAAGGGUCCUGAGGGACGCACCAGUCUCGUACGGGACGCAACAGGGGAGAGUAUUACGCAACGAGGGGGAGCGUGUGGUGACGACGCCGCGUGCGGAAUACUCGCCUACGAGUUGUGAACCACUUUGGAAGGUAACAAGGAGGGAUUGACGGUAAUGGGUAAAGAAGCAACGGCUAACUACGUG
RNAcentral lists this ribosomal RNA (468 nucleotides) under uncultured bacterium. Its description in RNAcentral is "partial 16S ribosomal RNA". It matches the Rfam family "Bacterial small subunit ribosomal RNA", at positions 28 to 507 of the family's 1533-position model. The record is from RNAcentral.